Non-coding RNA from Cordylochernes scorpioides, 72 nucleotides. NCBI's taxonomy places the organism in Eukaryota, Metazoa, Arthropoda, Arachnida, Pseudoscorpiones, Chernetidae. The record is from the annotation of a GenBank genome assembly.
GCAUCGGUGGUUCAGUGUCGAGAAUGUUCGCCUGCCACGCGGGCGGCUCGGGUUCGAAUCCCGGCCGAUGCA